ACGGAAGGCAGCAGUGGGGAAUAUUGCACAAUGGGCGCAAGCCUGAUGUAGCGAUGCCGCGUGAGGUAAGAAGGUUUUCGGAUUGUAAACCUCUGUCAACAGGGACGAAAAUGACGGUACCUGUGAAGGAAGCUCCGGCUAACUACGUGCCAGCAGCCGCGGUAAUACGUAGGGAGCAAGCGUUAUCCGGAAUUACUGGGUGUAAAGGGAGUGUAGGCGGGACUGUAAGUCAGAUGUGAAAUAUGCCGGCUCAACUGGCAGACUGCAUUUGAAACUGCGGUUCUUGAGUGAAGUAGAGGUAAGCGGAAUUCCUAGUGUAGCGGUGAAAUGCGUAGAUAUUAGGAGGAACACCGGUGGCGAAGGCGGCUUACUGGGCUUUUACUGACGCUGAGGCUCGAAAGCGUGGGGAGCAAACAGGAUUAGAUACCCUGGUA
This 434-nucleotide ribosomal RNA is filed under the name uncultured Ruminococcus sp. RNAcentral describes it as "partial 16S ribosomal RNA". It matches the Rfam family "Bacterial small subunit ribosomal RNA", at positions 341 to 792 of the family's 1533-position model. The record is from RNAcentral. Lineage: Bacteria; Bacillati; Bacillota; Clostridia; Eubacteriales; Oscillospiraceae.